CAACCCUCAAGCCCUCUUCGAUGUGGGCUCGGUGUUGGGGGAUCGACCCGGCGCCCAGCGCGCCAGGGCGACCCCUGAAAACUAGUGGCGGUUCCGCCCGCGGCAGCCUAUGCGUAGUAGCACAAACCUCGCACACGGAGCCCGGCGGUGGCCUUGCCGUUAAACACCCAAGACUCUAUUGUCUUCCAUG
RNAcentral lists this unclassified non-coding RNA (190 nucleotides) under uncultured fungus. Its description in RNAcentral is "sequence contains ITS2". The record is from RNAcentral. Lineage: Eukaryota; Fungi.